This 563-nucleotide ribosomal RNA is filed under the name Grus japonensis (Red-crowned crane). RNAcentral's name for it is "partial large subunit ribosomal RNA". It matches the Rfam family "Bacterial large subunit ribosomal RNA", at positions 1817 to 2597 of the family's 2925-position model. The record is from RNAcentral. Lineage: Eukaryota; Metazoa; Chordata; Aves; Gruiformes; Gruidae.
AGCCUUCAGCCCGACAAGUAUUGAAGGUGAUGCCUGCCCAGUGACAUUACGUUCAACGGCCGCGGUAUCCUAACCGUGCGAAGGUAGCGCAAUCAAUUGUCUCAUAAAUCGAGACUUGUAUGAAUGGCUAAACGAGGUCUUAACUGUCUCUUACAGGUAAUCAGUGAAAUUGAUCUUCCUGUGCAAAAGCAGGAAUAAGCACAUAAGACGAGAAGACCCUGUGGAACUUAAAAAUCAGCGACCACUACAUAUCACACCAUAAACCUAUUAGGCCCACACCCCAAAAGAACUGGUCCGCAUUUUUCGGUUGGGGCGACCUUGGAGAAAAACAAACCCUCCAAAAUCAAGACCAUGCCUCUUAACCAAGAGCAACCUCUCAACGUACUAACAGUAAUCCAGACCCAGUAUAACUGACCAACGGACCAAGCUACCCCAGGGAUAACAGCGCAAUCUCCUUCAAGAGCCCAUAUCGACAGGGAGGUUUACGACCUCGAUGUUGGAUCAGGACAUCCUAAUGGUGCAGCCGCUAUUAAGGGUUCGUUUGUUCAACGAUUAACAGUCCU